CAAAUCUGGAACAGCCACACAUGCCAGUUUCAGAAGUAAAAAAGAGGGACAGCUUUGGCUGGUAUCAGGUGGAGCUAGCAGUAGCUCUUAAUAGCUCCUUUAAGUAAGGGGAGGCACAGGAAACGCAAAGGUUUUUGGUGCAGGGUGUGUGUGCUAGAGUGUGAAAUGACUUCUGUUGUGGGAUUCUCUAGCCAGAUAUGAAUUACCUUGUACAGGAAAUCAGUUACACUUAAGUGCAUAAUAGCCAAAAUUGCCAGUGAAUUUUGCUCAAAUGAAUUUACAAACUAAUUUUUCUUUCCUCUGUUGUCUAGGAGUGGUGGUGUGCCUUCAAGGACAGACAAGACUCUUGUUCCUGCACUGCUCCUCAUCUCUGGUCUACAAACCUUGCCAAUGGGAGUGGGAAAACAGAUCAGCCAGGAAUUGGCUCUAUUUAAGAAGUCAUUAUCUGUGUCCAUGGAACGAUGUUGGCAACACCGCCAGUUAUCUGCCAUCCACACCACAUCGGUGCUUCGGGCUCAGCUGCAACGUGAAACUCUGGGUGCACAGAGACAUGUGAGGAGUUUUGUCAGAAGUAGCAAAGCCUUCAGAGCUGGUGGAAGAGGUGAGUGGUCUAACAGCACACCAGCUGCAAAGAGCAAUCCUCUGCUGAACUCAUCAUUCAGGUUCCUGGUUGUGUAACUCACUAUUUGCUCAUUUUGCUAGUGUGGUCAGGAGUCAUUCAGAGCCAAGGAGCCUGACAAACAUCUGCUUUUUCCAGGUCUAUGCUGGAACAGAUUGUCACCCUGAAGCCCCAACAUCUGCUCUGCGCAGAGGAACAGUUGUGGUACUUGCUUGGUGCCAGAGCCUCUUAAAGGCACAUUUCCCUGUGAAGCAGCAGAGCCUGAGUGUGGUAGCAGAAGGGUUUGGGUCAGGUUUUGGAGACAGGUUGACUUCCAGGGAUUUAACAGGGGUUUGCCUCUCAGCUUUUUCUGUGCUGUCUAAAAAAUGAAGUACACAAAUAAAAAGGUUGAAUUUUCUUUUUUGGGGGUUUUU
RNAcentral lists this long non-coding RNA (1032 nucleotides) under Parus major (Great Tit). RNAcentral describes it as "lncRNA (ENSPMJG00000015295.1)". The record is from RNAcentral. Lineage: Eukaryota; Metazoa; Chordata; Aves; Passeriformes; Paridae.